GUAGUCCUAACUGUAAACGAUGUGUACUUGAUGUAGUUGGUCUCAACCCCGACUGUGUCGAAGCGAACGCGAUAAGUACACCGCCUGAGGAGUACGCUCGCAAGGGUGAAACUCAAAAGAAUUGACGGGGGCCCGCACAGGCAGUGGAGCAUGUGGUUUAAUUCGAUGCAACGCGAAGAACCUUACCCAGGUUUGACAUGUAGCGGACAGUAGCAGAAAUGUUAUCUUCCGUAAGGACCGCUACACAGGUGCUGCAUGGCUGUCGUCAGCUCGUGCCGUGAGGUGUUGGGUUAAGUCCCGCAACGAGCGCAACCCUUAUCAUUAGUUGCCAACAUUUAAGGUGGGAACUCUAAUGAGACUGCCUGGGUUAACCAGGAGGAAGGUGAGGAUGACGUCAAGUCAGCAUGGCCCUUAUGUCUGGGGCGACACACGUGCUACAAUGGCCGGUACAGAAGGCAGCAAAGCCGCAAGGUGAAGCAAAUCCCUAAAGCCGGUCCCAGUUCAGAUUGUAGUCUGCAACUCGACUACAUGAAGUUGGAAUUGCUAGUAAUGGCGCGUCAGCCACAGCGCCGUGAAUACGUUCCCGGGCCUUGUACACACCGCCCGUCACAUCAUGGGAGUUGGUUUUACCCGAAGUCGCUGACUCAACCGCAAGGAGAGAGGUGCCUAAGGUAAGGCUGAUGACUGGGAUG
This 692-nucleotide ribosomal RNA is filed under the name uncultured Parachlamydiaceae bacterium. RNAcentral's name for it is "bacterial SSU rRNA". It matches the Rfam family "Bacterial small subunit ribosomal RNA", at positions 790 to 1482 of the family's 1533-position model. Lineage: Bacteria; Pseudomonadati; Chlamydiota; Chlamydiia; Parachlamydiales; Parachlamydiaceae. The record is from RNAcentral.